AGUCAUCUUCAGAAUUGUGUGGAAAAAUUGAGUUGGCUAGGUGCCAUCUCCAGCCUAACAGGAGUCAUCUCCUCUAUAUUGAUACAGAGUUAAGUGAAAAUGAGUCAACCCUAUUUAUCCAGGAGUCAUCUCCAAUCAGAGGAGUUGACUACAAAGUCUUAAGAGCCACCUCCUGAACUCUAGAACCGACAUGCACAAAAGGAGGAGUCACCUUUAAGUCUAGGAGCCGACCAGU
Molecule: long non-coding RNA, 235 nt
Filed under: Elaeis guineensis (African oil palm)
Lineage: Eukaryota; Viridiplantae; Streptophyta; Magnoliopsida; Arecales; Arecaceae
Description: long non-coding RNA (EGUI_LNC064001)
Source: RNAcentral